Long non-coding RNA from Neofelis nebulosa (Clouded leopard), 2814 nucleotides. RefSeq lists it as uncharacterized. NCBI's taxonomy places the organism in Eukaryota, Metazoa, Chordata, Mammalia, Carnivora, Felidae. The record is from RefSeq and is a predicted model, not a curated record. The transcript is spliced from 3 exons.
UAGAUUACAGGCAUCCGGCCAGUGGAAUACCAACCAGCUAGUGUUUUAAAAAUGAAGUCGUUAUGGUACAAAAGAUAUGUUGUUAAGCAGGCAAAAAAAAACACACAAAAAAACCAAAAACCAAUAUUCAGAAUGGUUUGUGUCAUAUGAUAGUAUCUGGUGGGGGGGGGGGGCAGGGGGUUAGCACAGUGCUUGGUGCAGACAGGUGCCUUAACAAAGAGGUGUUGAAAGAGAACAGCCCGCAUACGCUGGUUGUGACCUCGAGCAGGAGAGAGCUUGGUGGGGCUGGGGCCACCCUUGUACUGGACUCUGUGCUCCUGGUAAUGCAGCGUGGAAAAGGUGCUGAUCUCUCAAGCAACCCGGUUCCGCCCUUAGCUCCGGCUGAGCUUGUGGGCAGCUUGCCUGCCGAGGAAAUGGGUUGGGCCCUAAGGUUAGUGUCUCUUCCUACAGUCUUGGGUUCUCAGACUCCCAUUUCUCAUCAAAUGGAUGCCAGCUCACACCAGGCUCGGCCCGACCCUGCAGCCGCAAACGCUCAGAAGGACCCGGCGAAGCCACCUCCUGUCCUGGGUCCCGUCUCCAGCCUGGUCCACUUACUUCUCUUCCCUUGAUUCUCACCCCUUGGGUGGGGCCCAGGCAAUGGCACUCUUCAGAAGCUCCCAAAGAGAACUUUCACGCCCUUGAAGCCACUCUGGCUGACAACUACCCUGCAGAGCAGGCACUAUUAUCCUCUUUGAGAAGGGGCAGGGUGCCCUCCCACACCUCUGACCACAGGCUGCUGUGCCGGGAAAUUCAAGGUCGCUUCCCACAGGCUGCUCCCAGCCAGUGACUGGGAAACACAAGACUCUGCUGGGCAAAUCUGGCUGGAGGACUCCCCCACAGCCUUCUGUGCUCUCAGAACUGCCCCAAGGUCUAGAGGCUUCCUCCCAGCCUUCCUUCCUUCCCUCUCCCCGUCUCUCAGGGUCAGACUUGGGCUGUAGUGAGCUGACUCUCCCAGCCUCCUCCAGCCCCCUUCCCCGUUUCCCCUCGGAGGCAUUUUUCCCAACAAAUAGUUCCGCAUCUAAUCCCUUCUGGGAGGGCUGAACUACCGUAGGAUAAACAGAUAAACACGCUGAGAAUUUACAUGAUUACCCACCACUUUUUAGCCACUAAGCUCCCUCCAUAAAGCACUGACCAUAUCGCGCCAGCUUUCUAUGUAUCCUAACUCAUUUAACCGUUACAACAACCUAGAAGGAAGCUGUAAUUAUUAUCUACAUUUUACAGAAGGGGAAACAGAGUCACAGAGACAUUGGGCUGACCCAAGGUCACAUAGCAAAUGAGGAUUCAAAUCUCAGGGAUCCUAGAUCCAAACCUCAGUUGGUCUGGCCCCAGAACCCCAUGCUCUCUCAACUAUUCUGCUAUACCAGCCCAAAACCCAGGCUUCAAAUUCUGAGCAUAGUACCUUCCUACUACCCCACAGCCUUCCCUGGGGGAUAGGCCAGCCCCCCGCUCUGGCCACAGCCGCUCUCAGCAUCCUGAGUCUGGGGGAGCAGGUGGUAGCAACAGAAGAGAGUCCUUUGUGGGGAGCCCGGGCGACCAAAUCUUGACUUGGGCUCAGGCCAUGAUCUCGCAGUUCGUGAGUUCAAGCCCCGUAUCAGGCUCUGUGCUGACAGCGCAGAACCUGCUUGGGAUUCUGUCUCCCUCUCUCUCUGCCCCUCCCCUGCUCGCUCUCUUUCUCUCAAAAGGAAUUAAGUUUUAAAAAGUGAAAACAAAAAGAAGAAGAGAGUCCUUUGUACAGAACAGCGCCACUGGGGCUGGCUUCAGCAGCCCUGCCUGAGACUGGGCCACAUGGUUAGUAAUUUUAACAUGGCGGCUUCGAACCCCAAACCCAGCCCAGCAGGUACGAAGAAUGGACAAAAGCGAUGGUUUACUCUGUCUUCUUUUACUGUCACAUAAAUCCAGGAAGCAAGAAGACCCCAGGGAGAAAGAGAAGCCAGGCUGACCCGGGGGCCAGCAGGACAGGUGACUGAAUGGUGUCAGAUGGGAGAGAGACCCCCACUGAGCCAGGAAGGUCAGGAGCAGCAGAAAGGCAGACAUCAAAGACUGGAGUGCAAAGCCGGCACCCACCGAGCUGGGCAAGGACCUUCUGAGAGCUUUUCAGCAACUGGCUGUCACAGCUGUGGUGGCAGGUGACUCCACGUGCCUCCCCCUGCAACACGUGCUCAAUGAACACUAGGGAACCCGGUAACCCCAGCUUGUGACACUCUUAGACACAGGGAAGGAAAGGGUCCCAGAAACCGUCUUCAGCCCUGGGGGCCCAAAGGUCAAAGGGCAGGCAGCCCUCAGCAGAGCCAAUCUUGGGUUUGCUGGGGAGGUCACAGCAUUAGCGAAACCCUGCUCAAAGGAGACACUGCCCCUGAUUCAGUCAGCAGAUCACGAGCCCAGUAGGGGCCGAACCAGGGCCAGGACCAGACCGAACUGACUCAGCUCUGAAGAAGAAAAACAAUUUCCACAGAAUAGGAAAGCCCUGGGCUCACCUCAAAGCCAAGAAGUUCUGCCUGCACGCAAGGAGCCUCGCCACGGAGUGUGCACAGCCAUCGGUCAGUUUGUUGUUGAAGAGACUGGAACGUUCCAAAGGAGAGGAGACAUGGAGACCUAGCACAGCAGUCAGGGACCACCCCAAGCCCAGGGUAGCCCGUUCCCGCGACCCAGGAGUCACCUGCACCCUCCAAAUAUGCCAACACCCUCGCCGCAGCUCACGGCUGCUGCCCAAACGGCACGACCCAGAGCGUGGCCGGGGACACGAUGUCCACCACUCGAGCCCGACUUACGCUAACU